RNAcentral lists this transfer RNA (60 nucleotides) under fish gut metagenome. It matches the Rfam family "tRNA", at positions 7 to 61 of the family's 71-position model. Rfam says of the family: Transfer RNA (tRNA) molecules are approximately 80 nucleotides in length. Their secondary structure includes four short double-helical elements and three loops (D, anti-codon, and T loops). The record is from RNAcentral.
AUAGUGGCUCAGUUGGUAGAGCAUUGGCUUCCCAAGCCGAGGGUCGCGGGUUCGAGUCCC